Molecule: ribosomal RNA, 497 nt
Filed under: uncultured bacterium
Lineage: Bacteria
Description: partial 16S ribosomal RNA
Rfam family: Bacterial small subunit ribosomal RNA
Source: RNAcentral
GAUGAACGCUGGCGGCGUGCCUAAUACAUGCAAGUCGAGCGAACAGACGAGGAGCUUGCUCCUCUGACGUUAGCGGCGGACGGGUGAGUAACACGUGGAUAACCUACCUAUAAGACUGGGAUAACUUCGGGAAACCGGCGCUAAUACCGGAUAAUAUAUUGAACCGCAUGGUUCAAUAGUGAAAGACGGUUUUGCUGUCACUUAUAGAUGGAUCCGCGCCGCAUUAGCUAGUUGGUAAGGUAACGGCUUACCAAGGCAACGAUGAGUAGCCGACCUGAGAGGGGGAUCGGCCACACGGGAACUGAGACACGGUCCAGACUCCUACGGGAGGCAGCAGUAGGGAAUCUUCCGCAAUGGGCGAAAGCUUGACGGAGCAACGCCGCGUGAGUGAUGAAGGUCUUCGGAUCGUAAAACUCUGUUAUUAGGGAAGAACAAAUGUGUAAGUAACUAUGCACGUCUUGACGGUACCUAAUCAGAAAGCCACGGCUAACUACGUG